RNAcentral lists this ribosomal RNA (511 nucleotides) under uncultured bacterium. RNAcentral's name for it is "partial 16S ribosomal RNA". It matches the Rfam family "Bacterial small subunit ribosomal RNA", at positions 28 to 507 of the family's 1533-position model. The record is from RNAcentral.
GACCAACGCUGGCGGUAUGCCUAACACAUGCAAGUCGAACGGACAGACCAGGGAAGCUUUUCGGAGUGGAACUGGAAAGUUAGUGGCGGAUGGGUGAGUAACGCGUGGACAACCUACCUUGUAAAGGGGAAUAACCUCGAGAAAUCGAAGCUAAUACCCCAUAAUAACCUUGCUUCGCAUGAAGUAAGGAGGAAAGGCGGCCUUAGCGCUGUCGAUACAAGAUGGGUCCGCGUCUGAUUAGCUAGUUGGUGAGGUAAAGGCUCACCAAGGCGACGAUCAGUAGCCGGCCUGAGAGGGUGAACGGCCACAUUGGGACUGAGACACGGCCCAAGCUCCUACGGGAGGCAGCAGUGGGGAAUCUUCCGCAAUGGGCGAAAGCCUGACGGAGCAAUGCCGCGUGAGUGAAGAAGGCCUUCGGGUUGUAAAACUCUGUCCUUAUCGAAGAGAGAGUGUUGUAGUAACUGACAAUACUAGGACGGUAGAUGAGGAGGAAGCCCCGGCUAACUAUGUG